Molecule: ribosomal RNA, 250 nt
Filed under: uncultured prokaryote
Description: partial 16S ribosomal RNA
Rfam family: Bacterial small subunit ribosomal RNA
Source: RNAcentral
UACAGAGGUCGCAAGCGUUGUUCGGAUUUACUGGGCGUAAAGGGUACGUAGGCGGCGUGGCGUGUCGGAUGUGAAAUCUCCGGGCUCAACCCGGAAAGUGCGUCCGAAACUACCGCGCUUCGAGAGCGGGAGAGGGGACCGGAAUGCAGGGUGUAGCGGUGAAAUGCGUUGAUAUCCUGCAGAACACCGGAGGCGAAGGCGGGUCCCUGGAACGCUUCUGACGCUAAGGUACGAAAGUCGGGGGAGCAAA